This is a small nuclear RNA of Choloepus hoffmanni (Hoffmann's two-fingered sloth), 121 nucleotides long. The record is from Ensembl. Lineage: Eukaryota; Metazoa; Chordata; Mammalia; Pilosa; Megalonychidae.
GUGUUGUGUGAAAGGAGAGAAGGACUCCUCUUGACAAGAAUGGAAGAGGCCUUCGGGCCUGCACACGUGCAUACAGCUAAGGCAUUGCCACCUACUUUGUGGUAUCUAACCAUCAUUUUUA